This is a small nucleolar RNA of Manacus vitellinus (golden-collared manakin), 135 nucleotides long. The record is from Ensembl. NCBI's taxonomy places the organism in Eukaryota, Metazoa, Chordata, Aves, Passeriformes, Pipridae.
AUGCCAGUUCAAUGUGUCCGCUCAACUUUAAAAUGUUUUGCGGAGCAUAUUUUACAAUGACACUGGUAAAGUAAAGCCACAGUACGAGCCUUGAAGACUUUGUUGUCUCUGAGGUCCCAUGAGAUGGCUACAGCU